RNAcentral lists this transfer RNA (71 nucleotides) under Camelus bactrianus (Bactrian camel). It matches the Rfam family "tRNA". From Rfam's summary of the family: Transfer RNA (tRNA) molecules are approximately 80 nucleotides in length. Their secondary structure includes four short double-helical elements and three loops (D, anti-codon, and T loops). Further hydrogen bonds mediate the characteristic L-shaped molecular structure. tRNAs have two regions of fundamental functional importance: the anti-codon, which is responsible for specific mRNA codon recognition, and the 3' end, to which the tRNAs corresponding amino acid is attached (by aminoacyl-tRNA synthetases). tRNAs cope with the degeneracy of the genetic code in two manners: having more than one tRNA (with a specific anti-codon) for a particular amino acid; and 'wobble' base-pairing, i.e. permitting non-standard base-pairing at the 3rd anti-codon position. RNAcentral also lists the same sequence under 2 other names. Lineage: Eukaryota; Metazoa; Chordata; Mammalia; Artiodactyla; Camelidae. The record is from Rfam by way of RNAcentral.
GAGGGUACAGCUCAGUGGUAGAGCUUGUGCUUGCAUGCACCCGGUCCUGGGUUCAAUCCCCACUGCCUCCA